CUCCAUGUGUAGCGGUGAAAUGCGUAGAUAUAUGGAAGAACACCAGUGGCGAAAGCGGCUCUCUGGUCUGUAACUGACGCUGAGGUUCGAAAGCGUGGGUAGCAAACAGGAUUAGAUACCCUGGUAGUCCACGCCGUAAACGAUGAGUGCUAAGUGUUGGAGGGUUUCCGCCCUUCAGUGCUGCAGCUAACGCAUUAAGCACUCCGCCUGGGGAGUACGGUCGCAAGACUGAAACUCAAAGGAAUUGACGGGGGCCCGCACAAGCGGUGGAGCAUGUGGUUUAAUUCGAAGCAACGCGAAGAACCUUACCAGGUCUUGACAUCUUCUGACAAUUCCAGAGAUGGAACGUUCCCUUCGGGGACAGAAUGAC
Molecule: ribosomal RNA, 370 nt
Filed under: uncultured Lactobacillus sp.
Lineage: Bacteria; Bacillati; Bacillota; Bacilli; Lactobacillales; Lactobacillaceae
Description: bacterial SSU rRNA
Rfam family: Bacterial small subunit ribosomal RNA
Source: RNAcentral